Lutra lutra (Eurasian river otter) is the source of this 537-nucleotide long non-coding RNA. RefSeq lists it as uncharacterized. The transcript has 3 exons. The record is from RefSeq and is a predicted model, not a curated record. NCBI's taxonomy places the organism in Eukaryota, Metazoa, Chordata, Mammalia, Carnivora, Mustelidae.
GGUAUCACAAAUGGGAAAGAGUUGCUAUUGGCAUCUAGUGAACGGAGGCCAAGGAUACUGCUCCAGAUUCUAAAAUGCUCAUGACAGCCCUUCACAGCACAGAAUUUUCCAGCCACAGACGUCAUCAGUGUCCUCAUCUGUAAACCCUUCCAUCGCACACCACCUGAUCAGAGCAAGGACUUCGAAAGCAUCUCACUGAAACCAAAGAUGGUAUACGAACUCCUGGAGCCUUGGAGGGUGGUGGUGAAGAGCCCAGCAGAGCUCACACUCUGACCUGGAGACGCUACUUCGAGGAAUUCAUAAAGAUACACAGACAAGGAUAAUGGCUAACAUACUGCUGCUAAAAAAAGAACGAAAAGGAACCUGAAAUACCCAUCAAUAGAAUGGGUACAUACAUAAAAAUGCUACAGAGCUAUUCUACAAAGUUGAUGUGCAUCCAUACAGAUUAAUAUGGAAUGGUAUCAAUAAGAAAGUAAAAAAGCCACAAUUCUCCAGGUGAUAUGAGCCUAUUAGCAUAUGCAUGCGUGCAUUUGCAUG